Molecule: ribosomal RNA, 467 nt
Filed under: uncultured bacterium
Lineage: Bacteria
Description: partial 16S ribosomal RNA
Rfam family: Bacterial small subunit ribosomal RNA
Source: RNAcentral
GACGAACGCUGGCGGCGUGCUUAACACAUGCAAGUCGAACGGAAAGGCCCUGCUUUUGUGGGGUGCUCGAGUGGCGAACGGGUGAGUAACACGUGAGUAACCUGCCCUUGACUUUGGGAUAACUUCAGGAAACUGGGGCUAAUACCGGAUAGGAGCCUCUGCGGCAUGGUGGGGGUUGGAAAGUUUCGGCGGUUGGGGAUGGACUCGCGGCUUAUCAGCUUGUUGGUGGGGUAGUGGCUUACCAAGGCUUUGACGGGUAGCCGGCCUGCGAGGGUGACCGGCCACAUAGUCACCGGGAAGCCGCCCGCACCCAUACGAGAGGCAGGGAUGAGACUUAGCCCAAGAUGUGCCGAAUCCUCAUCGAACGUCGCCGCGUGCGGGACGACGGCUUUCGGGUUGGAAACCGCUUUCGCCUGUAACCAAGCGUUAUGACGGUUAAUGAGAAAAGAAGCACGGCUAAAUUACUG